Molecule: ribosomal RNA, 896 nt
Filed under: uncultured Porphyromonas sp.
Lineage: Bacteria; Pseudomonadati; Bacteroidota; Bacteroidia; Bacteroidales; Porphyromonadaceae
Description: bacterial SSU rRNA
Rfam family: Bacterial small subunit ribosomal RNA
Source: RNAcentral
GAGGGGCAGCAUGGUCUUAGCUUGCUAAGACUGAUGGCGACCGGCGCACGGGUGCGUAACGCGUAUGCAACUUGCCUCACAGAGGGGGAUAACCCGUCGAAAGACGGACUAAUACCGCGUACACUUGGCUUGGGGCAUCCCAAGCCAAGGAAAUGAAUUUCGCUGUGAGAUAGGCAUGCGUCCCAUUAGCUAGUUGGUGAGGUAACGGCUCACCAAGGCAACGAUGGGUAGGGGAACUGAGAGGUUGAACCCCCACACUGGUACUGAGACACGGACCAGACUCCUACGGGAGGCAGCAGUGAGGAAUAUUGGUCAAUGGGCGAGAGCCUGAACCAGCCAAGUCGCGUGAAGGAUGACUGUCUUAUGGAUUGUAAACUUCUUUUGUAGGGGAAUAACGCCCGGCACGUGUGCUGGAUUGAAUGUACCCUACGAAUAAGCAUCGGCUAACUCCGUGCCAGCAGCCGCGGUAAUACGGAGGAUGCGAGCGUUAUCCGGAUUUAUUGGGUUUAAAGGGUGCGUAGGCGGCCUGUUAAGUCAGCGGUGAAAUCUAGGAGCUUAACUCCUAAAUUGCCAUUGAAACUGGCGGGCUUGAGUGUAGAUGAGGUAGGCGGAAUGCGUGGUGUAGCGGUGGAAUGCAUAGAUAUCACGCAGAACUCCGAUUGCGAAGGCAGCUUACUAAGGUACAACUGACGCUGAAGCACGAAAGCGUGGGUAUCAAACAGGAUUAGAUACCCUGGUAGUCCACGCAGUAAACGAUGAUAACUGGGCGUAUGCGAUAUACAGUAUGCUCCUAAGCGAAAGCGUUAAGUUAUCCACCUGGGGAGUACGCCGGCAACGGUGAAACUCAAAGGAAUUGACGGGGGCCCGCACAAGCGGAGGAACAUGUGGUUUAAUUC